This is a long non-coding RNA of Ficedula albicollis (Collared flycatcher), 934 nucleotides long. RefSeq lists it as uncharacterized. The record is from RefSeq and is a predicted model, not a curated record. NCBI's taxonomy places the organism in Eukaryota, Metazoa, Chordata, Aves, Passeriformes, Muscicapidae. The transcript is spliced from 12 exons.
GGUUGCUCGGCCUUUUCGCAUCCUGCGGUGCUGGGGGUCUGUGCGGUCAUUGCGGCUCCGCUGUUCAACAUGUAUCAGCUACACUCUUCCUUCUUCUGGCUUCAGUGCAGAUUUGCCACCAAAUGUGGAGACUUAAAACUACUUCUUCCCAAGGAUUUGAAUCCUGCACUUCAGAUGUAUGCAGAAGGAACGUCACCUAAGAAGGCGCUGGGAGAUUAAACUAAGCUGUUACAAGGCUGCCCUGGACAGAGGAGCCCCAUGCCUCUUGUGUAAGAAACGAUUUCACCUGUUUCUAAUAUUGGUGAAGACAAGGCCUUCCUAAUGAAAGCACACUCUGGAGUUGAGGAAUGAGCAUCUCAGUGUUGAAGAGUGCUGGGAAAUGGAUUUACAACCUGCCUUCGGAAGGGGAUGGGAGUGUUGCAGCCUACUGUAAAUGAUGUUGAAUCAGGCUUCCAGAUGUUUCUCAUCGUGAGGUGUGAUGGAGCUGGGAAGUGAUGCACCUGGUUCUGCUGCCAGCAAAAGGUGAAGCUUGCAUGGAAUUAAAGGAACAAGACGGAUGUGUCUGAGGAAGGGACUGUGCUGUCUGCAGCUCACUGGGUGAAGAGGCAGCUCUGAAACUAGCAUAUGAAGAAUUGAGGAGGUUAGUGUAACUGCUGUAAUAAUGUAUUUGGUGGAACAAGUGAUGAAACCUUAGCUUGAACUCUCUCACUGAACAGAGAUGAAAUUCUAAGGUCUGAGAUGUUCCCAUCAAGCUUCUUGUGCUGGUUUGGUACCUUAUAAUGGUUCUUAUGUUUGUCUUAAUAGGUGGAAGGUUGCUGAUGAAUGGGUUACACUUGCAUGAACAACAUUAAAAAAGCUGAUGUGUUUUUACUUCACUGGUAAUGUUUGCCUGAUGCUUAUUGGAGCCAAUAAAAAUCUGCAAACUCUACCUGAU